UAAAAGGAACGUAAAUCAAGUUUUGUGACAUAGAGUACCCACAAAUCUAAUACCCAACUCACAAUCCUACGUACGAACCAUGCUUGCUGACCAACAUUUAACAAUAAUAAACCCUGCUAAACCUCAACGCAAGACAGAUUCAAAAGUGGAAUAAAAAUAAGCACAUAAGCCUAAUUCUAACACGACUGCUAGCAACAACAGAUGUUAAAAUCAUAAUAAAGCCACAUUUAGCUAUCCACAAAAUGUAAACACUCGUUUACAUCACAUCCCUAGUAAUUACAUAAGAGUCGUGAAUUGAAAAGUAAAGAAGAACAGAAGAUUUAACAAUAUGGCAUCAAACUUCACUUCAUUCAAACUUGCAUUUUGAGUUAUUCGUCAAGUGAUGUCCAUGGAGUUUUGAAGCAUACCUGGUACAGCAAAUGAACAAUGAAAAUUUGAGGUCAAGAGGGAUCAAACAUUUGUACCCCAGGAACAGCAAUUGCAACAAUUAAAACCCAAAGAAAUCGACUCAGGACCCAAAGAAUGAAGCAAAUAAUUCAAACAAAAAUUGAUUUCUAAUCCAGCAAUCAAAAUUCGAACUAGAAAUGAGCCAAAACACUUAAAACACCCUCUGAUUUAAACUAUUUUCACCCUUAAUUGCUCAGAACUAGCUCAGAAUCAAUAUCCCAAGAAUUCCCAAAGAUUUUCCAAUAUAAAAGUGAUUUUUCUGUGUAUUUUAUCCGUCUGAUUAUGUAUAUAUAUUUUCUCUCUCUUCUUUUCAGAUUUUUUUCC
RNAcentral lists this long non-coding RNA (771 nucleotides) under Nicotiana benthamiana. Its description in RNAcentral is "long non-coding RNA (NBEN_LNC029736)". The record is from RNAcentral. Lineage: Eukaryota; Viridiplantae; Streptophyta; Magnoliopsida; Solanales; Solanaceae.